UUGAGGCCAACAUUUUUGCUGGAUUACUGAGGUCAUGUAAAAAAAAAAAAUUCAUUUGGCUUUUGUGCAGCAGCCUACAAUGGCAGCCAAAAAUCUUCAUGCUGAUGAAAAAGGAGAUGGAACUGAGCUUUGGAGGAUGACACCAGGACCUGGGUGCCUCUUGUGGAUCUGCAGCCUGAGAGGCCCCUCCUGUGCCUGCACAGCAGCAGGAACCACAACCAGAAAAACCAUCUGCCUCCAGAUUUAAAAAUUGAGGGAAAUCUUCCAAGGGCAAGCCAUGGAUUGACUUCAGGACUGACCACACUGCCAAUGAGCAGUAGAGACACACCAGCCUGCAAUGAAAUCUAGGGCAAAGCAAUUCCCUGGCCCUUGCACACAGGAGCAGCAGUGAUGCACAGGCCAAGCCCAUCCUGAAUUCAUUUUGCAGUGAUCUGGAGGUGAAGCUGAGCAUGUCUGAGCGGGACCUGCACACAGGAGCUGACCCUGAGACGGCAGUAAUUACUACAGGAGAGAGCUGGAGAGCACAUGUACCGAGACCCCAAAGAACACUUUGGAGAGCUUUGUGUUUCUUGGAGGUUUAAUAUAUUAUAAUCUGAUUCAGCACAAGCCAGGCUGGGAAUAAAAGAGAAAUGCAGAAAGACUAAUGAUUUGAAGCGCAGGGGGAAGUGGAAGGAAAACAGCACUUCUAAGUGCAUUUUUUUUCCUUUUAUGCAAGAUCUGACUGGGACCAGGCAGAGAGAGCAAAGAGCUUCUGUGAGUUAACACAGAAGUGAAACAGUACAUUAAAGAGGCUUUAUUUGCUCCUUAGAGUCUUCUUUUGAUUUUUAAUAUCUCUGAGACUUGUCAGGGAGAAAAUGGACAAAGACAUCAGAUUCCAGGUCUUGAGCAGAGCUCCAGGACUUGAGACUUCAACAAAAUGAAAAAAAAUCACAUCCAGAAAAAGUUAAUGACCUUACCCUUAAGUGCUGCAAAACAACAACCAGAAGCAAGCUGGUCCACCUGCUAUGGAAGUCUCCAGUGUUGGCUAGACCAGUGCUUCAGGCUGACCCCGGCAUACCUCUAAAUUUCUGGUUGAAUUAUUUCAUCUGGAUCCAGAAAGGAGGUGAGUGUGGAGUAAGCCUGGUUUAGAGCCCUGGGCCCACAGCCUGUGUCCAGGUCUCCGUGUCCAAAUGCUGGUUGUAGGUGUUAGGGAAAGAGAUAUCAGGGGGCUUCCUGGCUCUACCAGGCCUUGCAAAGGAUGUGGUCUCGGUUCAGUAGGCGUGUAGCUGAAAAGCCCUGAAGCUACUUCAGCUUGGUAGCCAGGAGAGAGCCUCAAAGUCUGCAAGAACCCUGCAGAAUGCAAUAUUUACAAUGGAACAUAAAGAAAACAGGUGCUUCUGCUAAGUCAUGCCAGACCACGGAGGAAGCAAGCAGUCUUUGGAAGCACAACUCCAUUUGAAAGCAGCCAGGGAUCACUGCAAAGUGUGGACAUCUAUUGGACAUCUAUUUUCUCAUUCUUUUCUAUUUAUUUUCCAUUGAUAGCUUC
Cygnus olor (mute swan) is the source of this 1525-nucleotide long non-coding RNA. RefSeq lists it as uncharacterized. The record is from RefSeq and is a predicted model, not a curated record. NCBI's taxonomy places the organism in Eukaryota, Metazoa, Chordata, Aves, Anseriformes, Anatidae. The transcript is spliced from 3 exons.